ACCCAUUUAGCUCAGUUUUUAUAGCACCAGACUCCUAAUCUGGCUGUCGCGUGUUCGAGCCUCGCUUCGGUU
Molecule: transfer RNA, 72 nt
Filed under: Angiostrongylus costaricensis
Lineage: Eukaryota; Metazoa; Nematoda; Chromadorea; Rhabditida; Metastrongylidae
Rfam family: tRNA
About the family: Transfer RNA (tRNA) molecules are approximately 80 nucleotides in length. Their secondary structure includes four short double-helical elements and three loops (D, anti-codon, and T loops).
Source: Rfam by way of RNAcentral